This 129-nucleotide microRNA precursor is filed under the name Callithrix jacchus (white-tufted-ear marmoset). Lineage: Eukaryota; Metazoa; Chordata; Mammalia; Primates; Cebidae. The record is from RNAcentral.
GGGAUGCCACAUCCAGCCAUCCAGCGUGCAGUGCCCUUCGCAGGGAGGUGUCAUUCAUGUGGACUAAAUCAUGAAUGUCGCCUUCUUGAGAAGAGUAAUGUACAGCCUGUACUGCACAUGUGGUGUCCC